RNAcentral lists this ribosomal RNA (644 nucleotides) under Salmonella enterica subsp. enterica serovar Typhimurium. Its description in RNAcentral is "partial 23S ribosomal RNA". It matches the Rfam family "Bacterial large subunit ribosomal RNA", at positions 1 to 678 of the family's 2925-position model. The record is from RNAcentral. Lineage: Bacteria; Pseudomonadati; Pseudomonadota; Gammaproteobacteria; Enterobacterales; Enterobacteriaceae.
GGGUUGUGAGGUUAAGCGACUAAGCGUACACGGUGGAUGCCCUGGCAGUCAGAGGCGAUGAAGGGCGUGCUAAUCUGCGAUAAGCGCCGGUAAGGUGAUAUGAACCGUUAUAACCGGCGAUACCCGAAUGGGGAAACCCAGUGUGAUUCGUCACACUAUCAUUAACUGAAUCCAUAGGUUAAUGAGGCGAACCGGGGGAACUGAAACAUCUAAGUACCCCGAGGAAAAGAAAUCAACCGAGAUUCCCCCAGUAGCGGCGAGCGAACGGGGAGGAGCCCAGAGCCUGAAUCAGCAUGUGUGUUAGUGGAAGCGUCUGGAAAGGCGCGCGAUACAGGGUGACAGCCCCGUACACAAAAGCGCAUGUGCUGUGAGCUCGAUGAGUAGGGCGGGACACGUGGUAUCCUGUCUGAAUAUGGGGGGACCAUCCUCCAAGGCUAAAUACUCCUGACUGACCGAUAGUGAACCAGUACCGUGAGGGAAAGGCGAAAAGAACCCCGGCGAGGGGAGUGAAAAAGAACCUGAAACCGUGUACGUACAAGCAGUGGGAGCACCCUUCGGGGUGUGACUGCGUACCUUUUGUAUAAUGGGUCAGCGACUUAUAUUCUGUAGCAAGGUUAACCGUAUAGGGGAGCCGGAGGGAAACC